This 400-nucleotide ribosomal RNA is filed under the name Dolichognatha sp. ORB016. RNAcentral's name for it is "eukaryotic LSU rRNA". The stretch from base 1 to 111 matches the Rfam family "5.8S ribosomal RNA", at positions 44 to 154 of the family's 154-position model. The record is from RNAcentral. Lineage: Eukaryota; Metazoa; Arthropoda; Arachnida; Araneae; Tetragnathidae.
CGCAGCUAGCUGCGAGAUUUGGUGUGAAUUGCAGGACACAUUGAGCACUGAUUUUUCGAACGCACAUUGCGGCCUCGGGUACUGCCCGGGGCCUCGCCUGUCUGAGGGUCGGAUAAGACUUGCAGAGGAAGCCCGCUUCCCAUUGGCCGCACCGGACGCCCCUUCACCGGGGAGUUCGCCGGCUCAAGUUGCUUUGGAACCUCUCCGCGGUCGAAGAGGAGCGCACGCUGCUCGUCGGCUGGAGAAGACCGACCAUUUCUUCUCCUCCGGGACGAGGUUGCGCGAAGAGACCACUGAGAGGAGAAGGUUCCUGUCGAAACGCGUUCCCGGACGCGUCGAUGAUAAUAAUUUUCUGUCGACCUCAGAUCAGACGAGACGACCCGCUGAAUUUAAGCAUAUC